AAAUUGAAGAGUUUGAUCAUGGCUCAGAUUGAACGCUGGCGGCAGGCCUAACACAUGCAAGUCGAACGGUAACAGGAAGCAGCUUGCUGCUUUGCUGACGAGUGGCGGACGGGUGAGUAAUGUCUGGGAAACUGCCUGAUGGAGGGGGAUAACUACUGGAAACGGU
Molecule: ribosomal RNA, 166 nt
Filed under: Escherichia coli
Lineage: Bacteria; Pseudomonadati; Pseudomonadota; Gammaproteobacteria; Enterobacterales; Enterobacteriaceae
Also listed under: 28 other names
Description: partial 16S ribosomal RNA
Rfam family: Bacterial small subunit ribosomal RNA
Source: RNAcentral